AGCUCGGUGGUGCAGCGGAAGCAUGUGGGGCUCAUACUAGUAUAUGGCCACCCCAAGGUCGACGGAUCGAAACCGUCCUGAGCUA
Molecule: non-coding RNA, 85 nt
Organism: Malassezia cuniculi
Lineage: Eukaryota; Fungi; Basidiomycota; Malasseziomycetes; Malasseziales; Malasseziaceae
Source: the annotation of a GenBank genome assembly